Long non-coding RNA from Sander lucioperca (pikeperch), 225 nucleotides. RefSeq lists it as uncharacterized. NCBI's taxonomy places the organism in Eukaryota, Metazoa, Chordata, Actinopteri, Perciformes, Percidae. The record is from RefSeq and is a predicted model, not a curated record. The transcript has 3 exons.
GGGUCAGAGAUGUGUUCAGGUGUCCCGUAGUGUGUACCUGGGUCAGAGAUGUGUUCAGGUGUCCCGUAGUGUGUACCUGGGUCAGAGAUUUGUUCAGGUGUCCCGUAGUGUGUACCUGGGUCAGAGAUGUGUUCAGGUGUCCCGUAGUGUGUACCUGGGUCAGAGAUGUGUUCAGGUGUCCCGUAGUGUGUACCUGGGUCAGAGAUGUGUUCAGGUGUCCUGUAC